UAAUUUCACAUUUAUAAUUUGUAAUUGUGUAAACAUAUCACUUAUGAAUAUUCAUGACGACUUUAGUGUACAACCUCAAACUGUUCCUAAUUCUACUCAGACCACUACAAUGCGGCAGCAUAACAGGCAGAUGAGGUAAAAUAUAAAGUGUUUCUGUCAAGAUGCAAAGUGUUUGGUUUGACAGUCAGAGAGCAUAAAGUCUGAGCAGUGAAGUAUGCUCCAGUGUGCUGAUGUGGCAGCAGGUUGCAUAAGAUACUAUUACCCAACAGGAAAAUUGACUACUAUUAAGGCAACAUGAUGCCCUCAGAACUUACAGGAGUGCUACAGUAUGGCGGUAGGUAGGCUAUCAUACUGAGCAAGAUUCUAUACAGUACUACAACAUCUCUAUAUAAAAAAAGAAAUAACAAUAACAUUGCUAAAACUGGAAUGAUUCAUCUAUGAAGGGCAAAAAAAAACCAAGUUCAUGUUAUUAUUACAAAUACUACUUAUUAAUUAUACUAACAAAAUAGCACCUAUAACCCCCCAAAAAAGGAAACAGGGAGUGGAAGGCCAUUAUUGAUAUGAUAAUACAUUCAUUUUUGCUGUCAACAAACAAUUAGGUCACCAACACUGAUAAGGUUAAAUACAAUUAAACAUGAUAAAUAAGGACACACAGAUUCUUUCAGACUGAAACUGGAGUAUUCACCCAUCUUGUAUAAUUUUCCCAACUGACUUGGAUGUUAUAAGAUGACAUUGCUAAGACAGUUUUAUCUCCCAACCUAUCCACCCAUUCAUCCAUCACUCUAAUCUACAAAAUCGAGAUCAGGCUAUCAGUCAAUAUCCUACCAAUCGACGCCAUUGUAGUACCUAUUGUACUCACUGUACCUACCUAUCUAUCUUAUCUAUUAAAUUCUUUAAAUAAAACAUAUUUAUAUAGGAUAAUUGAUACACCUCUCAAGGGUUGUUUCCAUCCAACUUGUGUUACACACCAUAAUCUGGAAUACUGUACAAUACAAUAAAAUGAAAAAAGGAAAAUAAAAAAAAUAUAAUGGCUUAAUCGUGGCUUAGACAAAUAGAGGUUGUAUUAAACUGUUACGACAUUAAUAGAUUAGAAUCACUUAUUGAUAAUUUAUGGUAGUUGAAUUAAAGCUAGCGAUAUCAAUUGUACAGGUAGCAAUAGUUUUUUGUACCAUUAUUUAUACCUUCAUGGUCAUAUCAACUCAAGCAUUUUUAUGACAUCUAAGGGUACUUUUACAUAAUAGUAGUAGGCCUAUUUAGAAGAAUUACUGUAUUUCAUCAUUCAUCAUUUUUUUUGUCUUCUAUUAUAAUUGUGUUUUAAUUGAUUGUGAUUUGUUUGGGGGUAUUUUU
Anneissia japonica is the source of this 1347-nucleotide long non-coding RNA. RefSeq lists it as uncharacterized. The transcript has 3 exons. The record is from RefSeq and is a predicted model, not a curated record. NCBI's taxonomy places the organism in Eukaryota, Metazoa, Echinodermata, Crinoidea, Comatulida, Comatulidae.